This 497-nucleotide ribosomal RNA is filed under the name uncultured bacterium. RNAcentral describes it as "partial 16S ribosomal RNA". It matches the Rfam family "Bacterial small subunit ribosomal RNA", at positions 28 to 507 of the family's 1533-position model. The record is from RNAcentral.
GAUGAACGCUGGCGGCGUGCCUAAUACAUGCAAGUCGAGCGAACGGACGAGAAGCUUGCUUCUCUGAUGUUAGCGGCGGGCGGGUGAGUAACACGUGGAUAACCUACCUAUAAGACUGGGAUAACUUCGGGAAACCGGCUCUAAUACCGGAUAAUAUUUUGAACCGCAUGGUUCAAAAGUGAAAGACGGUCUUGCUGUCACUUAUAGAUGGAUCCGCGCUGCAUUAGCUAGUUGGUAAGGUAACGGCUUACCAAGGCAACGAUGCAUAGCCGACCUGAGAGGGUGAUCGGCCACACUGGAACUGAGACACGGUCCAGACUCCUACGGGAGGCCGCAGUAGGGAAUCUUCCGCAAUGGGCGAAAGCCUGACGGAGCAACGCCGCGUGAGUGAUGAAGGUCUUCGGAUCGUAAAACUCUGUUAUUAGGGAAGAACAUAUGUGUAAGUAACUGUGCACAUCUUGACGGUACCUAAUCAGAAAGCCACGGCUAACUACGUG